This 65-nucleotide transfer RNA is filed under the name Staphylinidae sp. BMNH 1274679. RNAcentral's name for it is "tRNA-Phe". Lineage: Eukaryota; Metazoa; Arthropoda; Insecta; Coleoptera; Staphylinidae. The record is from RNAcentral.
AUUUAAAUAGCUUAUAAAGAGCGUAAUAUUGAAGAUAUUAAGGAAAUAAUUAUUAUUUUUAAAUA